GUUCGCUUCUGUCUUCGUGUACCUAAAAGAACCAUCCGUUUGGCCGAUUCGGGUAAUAAUCCCAAUUGUGCGGUACUGGAACAGUACCCCUUUGGGAUUAUUAUACGUCUAUCGGUAUUACGUUUUUAUAAAAAAUACAAUAGAUAAAUAUUACUUGCGUUUCUCCAAGAUUUUUUUGACUCGACAAGACUAUUCUUUCAAGCGUCUCAACAGACUACAAUCGUCGCAUCAACAAAAGGUAACUAUAUUAUGAAUAAUUAAUAGUAUCUUAUGAAUAACAUUUACAAACAUUACAACUUUCACUUUUGUAGCUCUUUAGUUGUUUAAUUAAUUAAUAACUACCUACUGGUGGCAUGUUUUUCGAUCGAUUUUUGUUUAAGUAUGAUUGAACCUGUCCGCCCAAAAUAUUGAUUUAGACUGCGGUUCCAAUGUUUUUGUUACCAUUUAUCAAUUAAAAUAUUUUCAUUUCAGGGUUUGAACAAAAAAUUUAAGUUUUUGACGGUUCACUAAAGAAUUACUUUCCAGAAAAAUCAGAAUACAUGCAGGAUGGCUGUAUGCUAUAUCGAAUACUAUGAAUUGAGACAGAAAUCCUACAGGUCUUUAUUAUAUUUAAAAUAGUAUAAAUUUAUGCUUUUUUUAUGAAUUAAAAUUUAGUCUAUAAUAUUGAAAUGAUAUAACUAUUAUAACUUUUAUUGUUUAUUUUGUUUACCAGAAUGGAUGCUAGAAUAGCUGAUAGUAUAAUAUUAACAUAAGCAACAGAAUUUAUAUGGAAACAGAAAGGGACUUUGACAAUAUUCACAGGUCAUGUGUCUGAUAUACAAGUUUGAACAUCAUACGUGAUGAAUUUAAUAGUUUUUUUUAUAACUNACACAUCUACUCAAUAACAUAGAAGAAAUAUUAUAGUUUUAACUUAUGGAGCUAUUCUAUAAAUUAAAAGUUUUAACAAUUAAAAUUAAUUAUUAUAAAUUAUAUGUUAUACUGAGAAAAGAGAAAUCAGUAUUCAAUAAAAAAAACCAUAAGCAUAGAAAACAAUUAUAAAAAUGUAUUUAAUAUUGUACCACUGUGGAGUUGUAUCCAUACAUUACAGACCAAUGAAGUGGCUGUGUUAAUGUUGAGAUUCAUAUGAUAAAAAUGUUUUAUGGAUGCUGAUUAUAGUGUUAAUACCUAUAGACAUAUUCACUUUAAUAUUCAAUUUAUUUAAGUCAAAGGACAUUCUAAAUGCUUGGACUACUUAUCAGGCUUUCUCAUCUAUGGUCUAAAUCGCACAAGUUAUGGGCUUGCUCAACUGUUGCUGAAGUUUGUGUACAUUCUAAUUACAAGAGUUUUGCUGAAAAACAAAGAAUUUUUGAAAAAGUAAAUAAAAUUAUGAAACUUCUAAAACACAUUUAUUUCAUUGAUUAAAUGUUCUAAUGUGAUGUGUUUUAGGACAACGGUUGCAAUUAACGACAAUAGAGAAAAUUUAAUGAUUUGGUCGGACAAAUGUUGUUUUUUUUUGAGUUAUUCAAUUGACGGAGUUAUAGAUCAUUUGACAAUCACAUCUUUAACAGUAAGUAUUGCAAUUAUUAUCUUUUAAUCAACUUUACAAAAGCAUUGGCCCUUGUUUCAGUAUACAAAGUGAAAAGAGUAUACAGAAUUUCUAGAACCUUGCUAUGAUUCUUCUAUUUUGAAAUUAUAAUUUUUAAUUCCAAUUAAACUGGGUUUUAUAUUGGUUUUACUAUAAUAAUGGUUGCAAUUAAUAACAGUACAGAAAAUGUAAUGUUAUUUAAUUUAAUGAUUAUUAUUCUAAAUAUUUUAUAAUUUUCUUAAUAUUUAAUUUGCCUUUAUUUUGAAUGUGUUAUUUAAUUCUUUAUUUUUAUAUGUUUUUUUAGAACAGAACUUCAGACAAAUAUUCAAGAUAUUCUAUCAGAAUCAAUUUUAUGUUUAAACAGUCUCUGUGAUUUGAUAAAAUUUUGAUUUAAUUAUUGUUAUUUUAAAAAAAUUGUGAAAUAUUUUAGUCUCUUCCUAUCAAACAUCCUUUUCUCUUUUUUUGGGGAGAAAUCCAGAUAAUUUUAAUAACUUCACCAUUCUUUAGAUACAUGUUGAGCAAAUUCAUAAUUAGUGCGAUCUAGACCCUGAAUGAGAAAUGCCUGAUAAGGAGACUAAGGAUUUAGAUAAUCCCAUGAUUAACGUAACUUGAAGAAGGAAGUCCACAUUCUUAUAGAUACUAAAGCUAUAAUCAUCAUUGAUAACAUUCUUGUUUCGUAGAUAUUUUAAUAUGGAUGUGGUCAUUGCUUUAGUCAGUAAGGUAUGCUUACUAGUUCACAUUGAUACAAUGUUAUAUAUGUAUAUACAAAUAUUUUCUAUGCUCAUGGAUUUCUUAAUCCAUAUUCCUUUAUAUUGCCUUAGCAUGACAUGUACAUUUUAAUAGUUGAUUCUAAAUAUAAAAUUAAUAUUUAUAGCUUAGCUUGGUAAUUUUUAACCAUGUUACUGCUUCUAUGGGUUUGAAUAGUUGUGUACUAUCUCGAAGGAAUUUGAUGGCAUUAGUUUGUGAAUCUAUUAUUUUAAAUCAUUUACUCAAUGUCCGUGUCAUUUGGGCAUAAAACACUAUUGAAAUCAAUAGGUAUAAUGUUUUUUGUUAGUAUAUUGGACAGUUGAACUGUAAAUAUUGAAGAAGCCCCGUCCUGUUUCCACUCCAAAUUGUGUUCUUGCAUUCAAUUCCUCUAUGGUUAUAUAAUAUAAUAGUCACUAUUUCAAAUUAUUUAAUUUACAUUUAAAUGUCUAAG
RNAcentral lists this long non-coding RNA (2762 nucleotides) under Cinara cedri. The record is from RNAcentral. Lineage: Eukaryota; Metazoa; Arthropoda; Insecta; Hemiptera; Aphididae.